CACCACAGUCAGUUUUGGAACAUUUUUGUCACCAUAAAGAGAAACCCUGUACCCUUUGGCAGGCUCCUCUC
Molecule: long non-coding RNA, 71 nt
Organism: Lynx canadensis (Canada lynx)
Lineage: Eukaryota; Metazoa; Chordata; Mammalia; Carnivora; Felidae
Exons: 3
Source: RefSeq, a predicted model, not a curated record